UACGUAGGAUGCAAGCGUUAUCCGGAUUUAUUGGGCGUAAAGCGUACGUAGGCGGUUUCUUAAGUCUGGGGUUAAAGACCAAGGCUCAACCUUGGGAGUGCCCUGGAUACUGGGAGGCUGGAGGACGGCAGAGGAAAGUGGAAUUCCCAGUGUAGCGGUGAAAUGCGUAGAUAUUGGGAGGAACACCAGUGGCGAAAGCGACUUUCUGGGCCGUUCCUGACGCUGAGGUACGAAAGCCAGGGGAGCAAAC
RNAcentral lists this ribosomal RNA (250 nucleotides) under uncultured bacterium. RNAcentral's name for it is "partial 16S ribosomal RNA". It matches the Rfam family "Bacterial small subunit ribosomal RNA", at positions 524 to 773 of the family's 1533-position model. The record is from RNAcentral.